CCCGGGCCGGGGAUGCGCCCUCCUCCCCCUUUUGCCUUCUUUUCUCCUUUUUUUCCCCCCCCCUUUCUCCCCCUCCGACAAAACGGGCUCCGAUUUAUUAACUUUAUUUUGUUAUUGCCGUUGCAAUUUUUUUUUCUUCUUUUUUUUAAUAUAGGAGCUUUCCAAGAUCUGGAAGCACAACUGGUUAUUUUGAUUUGAUUGACAAGUGAUGUCAUAUCGUUAAGGGGGGGGGGGGGGAGACGACAACAUGUUUUAGCAACAGUUAGUGGUACCCUGUGAUGGAGUUGACACCUAUGCCCGGGCAGAGGCGAAAGCAGAAAACAAAUACCCGCGCCCGUGCUCACAGACUAUUUAUUUACACGCCUGGAGUGGGGUUUCUUCCUCUUUUUAUUAUUUUUUUUUUUUCCCCUGAUCCUGGGAAAAAAGCGUACCUGACCAAACGGGGCUGAGCCGGACGGGACCCGCAGCCCCCGGGGCACUUUCCUCCAGGCACCCCCUUUCCCGGGCUGUCCCCGCCGGUUCCCCCCAACUUCCCCGGGGGUCGAGACCUCCGUACAGCAUCGUCCCCCUCCCCUCGCCCCGCUCCGCCCCGAAUUGCAACCCGCGGCGGCCGCAAGCAGGGAGGGCAGGCAAAACCCCGUGAAAAAGAAGGAAAAAAAGCGGGAAAGAAGCGUUCAGCCCCGCGCCGGGCCGCGGUGCUCACGGCCGCCGGUGCCCUGAGCGGUGUGCGAGUCUCGGGGCGGGCCGGGGAAGGCGGCUGCCCGCCGGCGGGGAGGGGGCUGUGGGCGUACCGCCCCGACCCCCCCCGCCCCGCCGGGGACCGCGGCAGGUAGAGGACCGGCCGGCCGGUGCCAGCGGCUCCCGCCCGCCCGCAGGUUAUUUCGGGCGCAGCUGUUGCAGGAGGGAGCAAAGAGGACGAUCCCGCAGUCUUUCGGGCUAUGCACCUGCACGUAAGAGGGGCAGCGGAGAAGCUGGAAGAGGCGCAAGGAGAUAUAUUAUGCGACGAGUCGUUGUUAAAGCUAGGAAAGAAACGGUAAAAUAUACAUCUGGUAGACCAGACCACUAAGAAAUUCGGCCAGAACGAAUGUUUUUGGAAAGGUUUGCGCUCCCCAGCCCCGGCUUGGCAGUCCUCACCUGCUGGCUAUUUUCCUGCCGGAAGAGGGAGACGCCGUCGCCGGCCGCGCCCCGGGAUCGCCCCUGCACGGAACGACUCUAAAACGAGGGACCGUCGCUCAGGCGGAAAAACUACGGGAAAAGCGGCGUUUGAAGCCUGCAGAUUUUUCCCCAAAAGGGGACAGACAGGAGUGCCCGAGCCGGGGACUCGGGGGGCGGGCUGAGACCGGCGGAGGCGCGGGGCUGCCCGAGGCUCACCGCGCCGCUGCCUGCUCGCCGGACGGGCUGUCCCGGGGCCAGGGCCACCCCUUCAGGUGCCACCACAGCCAUAUGGGGCCGGAGGGGCGGGGGGGUUGCGAUUUUCCCCUCAUGCCCGCUGGAAGAGAAGGUUGUUUUCCUCCGCUGUUUAGCUUUCGUACUAAAGAUGUCAUCUGAAAGUCUGGGAGGAAGGGGGAACUGUGCUCCGCUCUCUUCCACGGUAACAACCAUAUUCUGCAUAUUGAAAAAUAUUAUAGACAGUGGGGAAGGCUUUUUUUUUUUCUUCCCCUUAAAAAAAGAAAAAAAAAAAAGAACCAACCUUUUCAAUAUUGAUUCAACAAAAAAAGAGAAGGAGAGAAUUUAAAAAGAGAAGAAGCAGCACCAGCAGCAGGGAGAAUAUAGGCUCAGCAACUCUCCAGGUUCGCUUCCUUAUUAUUACUAUCCAGGGGUAAUUUUUCAUCUCUGCUAGCUAAUCUUUGUUCCUUGUGAAGAUAAUGAAUAGCCCAAUCCUUAUCUCCUGGGCUCCUGGAGGCUGCUGGAGAAUGGGGUUGAACAGGGUUGAAAAUUGGUUCCAAAGUGCUGCUGAAUAAAUGGUGUUCCUUAUCUCUCGCUUCCAGAUUAUCGGAACCCUUUCAAAACUCACACAACAAAUACAGCCACCGCAUCUAAUGCAUCAUUUACCAGAGCAGAUCUCCGCGUUUGAUCGGCAGAUAGGCAAAAUCUAUGUAUUCCUUGCUUUACUUAGUAUGCAUGGACGCGGGGCUGCUGUGCAUGCGGGGUGCCCCCGGCCGGGCCUGGGACACCCCCCGGGCUCUUAGCACACGCAGGUCUUUGCUGUGGACUCUGUGGGACGAGGAGAGUGUCCCCCGCCUGUCACCCACCCGGGGGGAGCAGGGUGGGACAGCAACACACCUCGCGAGGUGCUGCCAUGCGGCGCACUUGGAAAUUUGGGGUUGCUCCGCUGGGGAGCUGGUGGAUUUGCGGGGUGAGGACGAGAGGUGUGAGCAUCAUCCUGGGCACCCGCUUGCAACCACGCUCACUCCCGCACCCACGGUCGCAUUCGUUCACCUGCACCCACGAGCAGUCGCUGUUACAGGGGUGUGCGGCUGCCCCCCUGCUCCCCCAAAAUGCCACUUUUAGGCUCAGCUGUGACCUAGCCCUGCCGCAUCCCCUAGUGCUCUCAGGGCCCAGCUGGACCACUCUGGUAAAACCUCCCGGUGACCCCUCCAGGUUCUUCCCCCCGAAAUCCCAGCAGCCCAGCCGCGGAGCCCUGCCAGUCCCUUGGGUCCCAUGGGGGCUGGGACCGUCUUCCAGCCUUUCCCUUCGGUGCUGGGUGAUCCCCCCACGUCCCAGCUGCAGGCAGGACAGGGAACCUGGGGCAACCCGAGAUUGGGGAGCAACUGGUG
Chroicocephalus ridibundus (black-headed gull) is the source of this 2777-nucleotide long non-coding RNA. RefSeq lists it as uncharacterized. Lineage: Eukaryota; Metazoa; Chordata; Aves; Charadriiformes; Laridae. The transcript has 4 exons. The record is from RefSeq and is a predicted model, not a curated record.